RNAcentral lists this ribosomal RNA (227 nucleotides) under uncultured bacterium. Its description in RNAcentral is "partial 16S ribosomal RNA". It matches the Rfam family "Bacterial small subunit ribosomal RNA", at positions 89 to 334 of the family's 1533-position model. The record is from RNAcentral.
ACACGAGCGGCAGACGGGAGAGUAACACGUGGGAACGUACCCUUUGGUUCGGAACAACCCAGGGAAACUUGGGCUAAUACCGAAUAAGCCCUUACGGGAAAGAUUUAUCGCCGAAGGAUCGGCCCGCGUCUGAUUAGCUAGUUGGUGGGGUAACGGCCCACCAAGGCGACGAUCAGUAGCUGGUCUGAGAGGAUGAUCAGCCUCACUGGGACUGAGACACGGCCCAG